GGUGAGAUGGCUCAGCGGUUAAGAGCACUGACUGCUCUUCCAGGGGUUCUGAGUUCAAAUCCCAGUGACUACA
RNAcentral lists this transfer RNA (73 nucleotides) under Mus musculus (house mouse). RNAcentral's name for it is "tRNA-Ser". The record is from RNAcentral. Lineage: Eukaryota; Metazoa; Chordata; Mammalia; Rodentia; Muridae.